This 721-nucleotide ribosomal RNA is filed under the name uncultured Bacilli bacterium. RNAcentral describes it as "bacterial SSU rRNA". It matches the Rfam family "Bacterial small subunit ribosomal RNA", at positions 28 to 734 of the family's 1533-position model. The record is from RNAcentral. Lineage: Bacteria; Bacillati; Bacillota; Bacilli.
GACGAACGCUGGCGGCGUGCCUAAUACAUGCAAGUAGAACGCUGAAGGAGGAGCUUGCUUCUCCGGAUGAGUUGCGAACGGGUGAGUAACGCGUAGGUAACCUGCCUGGUAGCUGGGGAUAACUAUUGGAAACGAUAGCUAAUACCGCAUAAGAGUAGAUGUUGCAUGACAUUUGCUUAAAAGGUGCAAUUGCAUCACUACCAGAUGGACCUGCGUUGUAUUAGCUAGUUGGUGGGGUAACGGCUCACCAAGGCGACGAUACAUAGCCGACCUGAGAGGGUGAUCGGCCACACUGGGACUGAGACACGGCCCAGACUCCUACGGGAGGCAGCAGUAGGGAAUCUUCGGCAAUGGACGGAAGUCUGACCGAGCAACGCCGCGUGAGUGAAGAAGGUUUUCGGAUCGUAAAGCUCUGUUGUAAGAGAAGAACGAGUGUGAGAGUGGAAAGUUCACACUGUGACGGUAUCUUACCAGAAAGGGACGGCUAACUACGUGCCAGCAGCCGCGGUAAUACGUAGGUCCCGAGCGUUGUCCGGAUUUAUUGGGCGUAAAGCGAGCGCAGGCGGUUAGAUAAGUCUGAAGUUAAAGGCUGUGGCUUAACCAUAGUACGCUUUGGAAACUGUUUAACUUGAGUGCAAGAGGGGAGAGUGGAAUUCCAUGUGUAGCGGUGAAAUGCGUAGAUAUAUGGAGGAACACCGGUGGCGAAAGCGGCUCUCUGGCU